GGGUCAGUAGGUUGGUCGUGCCACCGGUACGUACUGGUCUCACUGAUUCCUCCUUCCUGAAGAACCGUAAUGCCAUUAAUUUGGUGUUGCGGGGAAACAGGACUGUUACUUUGAAAAAAUUAGAGUGUUUAAAGCAAGCUAACGCUUGAAUACAUUAGCAUGGAAUAAUGAAAUAGGACGAUAGAUCCUAUUUUGUUGGUUCCUAGGAUUGACGUA
RNAcentral lists this ribosomal RNA (216 nucleotides) under Glomeromycotina sp. RNAcentral describes it as "partial small subunit ribosomal RNA". The stretch from base 40 to 216 matches the Rfam family "Eukaryotic small subunit ribosomal RNA", at positions 686 to 864 of the family's 1831-position model. The record is from RNAcentral. Lineage: Eukaryota; Fungi; Glomeromycota.